This 897-nucleotide ribosomal RNA is filed under the name uncultured low G+C Gram-positive bacterium. RNAcentral describes it as "bacterial SSU rRNA". It matches the Rfam family "Bacterial small subunit ribosomal RNA", at positions 28 to 896 of the family's 1533-position model. Lineage: Bacteria; Bacillati; Bacillota. The record is from RNAcentral.
GACGAACGCUGGCGGGCGUGCCUAAUACAUGCAAGUCGAACGCUUCUUUCCUCCCGAGUGCUUGCACUCAAUUGGAAAGAGGAGUGGCGGACGGGUGAGUAACACGUGGGUAACCUACCCAUCAGAGGGGGAUAACACUUGGAAACAGGUGCUAAUACCGCAUAACAGUUUAUGCCGCAUGGCAUAAGAGUGAAAGGCGCUUUCGGGUGUCGCUGAUGGAUGGACCCGCGGUGCAUUAGCUAGUUGGUGAGGUAACGGCUCACCAAGGCCACGAUGCAUAGCCGACCUGAGAGGGUGAUCGGCCACACUGGGACUGAGACACGGCCCAGACUCCUACGGGAGGCAGCAGUAGGGAAUCUUCGGCAAUGGACGAAAGUCUGACCGAGCAACGCCGCGUGAGUGAAGAAGGUUUUCGGAUCGUAAAACUCUGUUGUUAGAGAAGAACAAGGACGUUAGUAACUGAACGUCCCCUGACGGUAUCUAACCAGAAAGCCACGGCUAACUACGUGCCAGCAGCCGCGGUAAUACGUAGGUGGCAAGCGUUGUCCGGAUUUAUUGGGCGUAAAGCGAGCGCAGGCGGUUUCUUAAGUCUGAUGUGAAAGCCCCCGGCUCAACCGGGGAGGGUCAUUGGAAACUGGGAGACUUGAGUGCAGAAAGGAGAGUGGAAUUCCAUGUGUAGCGGUGAAAUGCGUACAUAUAUGGAGGAACACCAGUGGCGAAGGCGGUCUCUGGUCUGUACUGACGCUGAGGCUCGAAAGCGCGGGGGAGCAACCCAGGGAUUAAGAUACCCUGGGUAGUCCAACGCCGUAACGAUGAAGUGCUAAGUGUGGGAGGGUUCGGCCUUCAGUGCUGCAGCAAGCUUGGAGGCACUCCGCUUGGNGGAUACGACCGAGGUUG